CCUUUGACGUUAGCGGCGGACGGGUGAGUAACACGUGGGUAACCUACCUAUAAGACUGGGAUAACUUCGGGAAACCGGAGCUAAUACCGGAUAAUAUUUCGAACCGCAUGGUUCGAUAGUGAAAGGUGGUUUUGCUAUCACUUAUAGAUGGACCCGCGCCGUAUUAGCUAGUUUGUAAGGUAACGGCUUACCAAGGCGACGAUACGUAGCCGACCUGAGAGGGUGAUCGGCCACACUGGAACUGAGACACGGUCCAGACUCCUACGGGAGGCAGCAGAA
This 279-nucleotide ribosomal RNA is filed under the name uncultured Staphylococcus sp. RNAcentral's name for it is "partial 16S ribosomal RNA". It matches the Rfam family "Bacterial small subunit ribosomal RNA", at positions 83 to 354 of the family's 1533-position model. Lineage: Bacteria; Bacillati; Bacillota; Bacilli; Caryophanales; Staphylococcaceae. The record is from RNAcentral.